RNAcentral lists this ribosomal RNA (471 nucleotides) under uncultured bacterium. Its description in RNAcentral is "bacterial SSU rRNA". It matches the Rfam family "Bacterial small subunit ribosomal RNA", at positions 329 to 793 of the family's 1533-position model. The record is from RNAcentral.
GCAGAGCAUCCUACGGGGGCAGCAGUGGGGAAUAUUGCACAAUGGGCGCAAGCCUGAUGCAGCCAUGCCGCGUGUAUGAAGAAGGCCUUCGGGUUGUAAAGUACUUUCAGCAGUGAGGAAGGUGGAUAUGUUAAUAGCAUAUUCAUUUGACGUUAGCUGCAGAAGAAGCACCGGCUAACUCCGUGCCAGCAGCCGCGGUAAUACGGAGGGUGCGAGCGUUAAUCGGAAUUACUGGGCGUAAAGCGCAUGCAGGUGGUUUGUUAAGUCAGAUGUGAAAGCCCGGGGCUCAACCUCGGAAUUGCAUUUGAAACUGGACAAACUAGAGUACUGUAGAGGGGGUAGAAUUUCAGGUGUAGCGGUGAAAUGCGUAGAGAUCUGAAGGAAUACCGGUGGCGAAGGCGGCCCCCUGGACAGAUACUGACACUCAGAUGCGAAAGCGUGGGGAGCAAACAGGAUUAGAUACCCUGGUAG